UCUAAGGAUGGUUCUUCAGAAGCUUGCUUCUAUCGAACCGUUUUAGAAACAUCAGUGGCCAACGAUCGUCAGGAUUGUUGAGCUGCAUUGGCGGGAUUUCGCCGUCUUCGUUUCUCUUUCUUCGCGGACGAACACGCGCUGGGGCUGCAAGCUUGCAGAAUCCCUGGUCCUUGACUGGAUAUGCGUUAGGGGCUUGUAGCUCAGUUGGUUAGAGCGCGCGCUUGAUAAGCGUGAGGUCGGAAGUUCAAGUCUUCCCAGGCCCACCACACUCAUCGAGUGAGCAUUCGUCUUCUGGUUACGGGGCCAUAGCUCAGCUGGGAGAGCGCGUGCUUUGCAAGCAUGAGGUCGUCGGUUCGAUCCCGUCUGGCUCCACCAGAUGGUUUGAUCAUCGACUGAUCGUGCACCUAAAUCGUCCGCGAAACAUCACUUCGCACUUACUAGUCCGGAUGGACAGUAAGCUGCGUGAUUUCUGACAUCGUAAAGAGGAGAUCGAUCCGAGUUGGAUCGGGCAACAAGCAAUUGUUGCGCGAUACUUCAUUAUCUCCGGAUCAUUUCGGCGCUCGUGCGCCUUUCAAUGUAGCUCACAAGGCUGCGUCUGAGAGGAAUGCGAGUUGUAAAUGAUCCUUUUAGCGAAGCUUGACCGCCUCGCUAUCGGAACGAUCUUACGAAGCAAGCUGGUCUUUCUAAUCAUUGUCCGGCUGCAGAUAGCGUUCAUCGAGGGCGCGUGCCGCAAGGUAAUUCUGCAGACAACAUUCUGCCGAGUGUGUGGACAUUGAUAAUGAGAGC
Molecule: transfer RNA, 786 nt
Filed under: Bradyrhizobium sp. USDA 3470
Lineage: Bacteria; Pseudomonadati; Pseudomonadota; Alphaproteobacteria; Hyphomicrobiales; Nitrobacteraceae
Description: 16S-23S ribosomal RNA intergenic spacer
Rfam family: tRNA (bases 190-263)
Source: RNAcentral